Molecule: long non-coding RNA, 224 nt
Filed under: Capsicum annuum
Lineage: Eukaryota; Viridiplantae; Streptophyta; Magnoliopsida; Solanales; Solanaceae
Description: long non-coding RNA (CANN_LNC002507)
Source: RNAcentral
CAACCACCAGAUCUGUCCACUACCGCAAUGACCCCAAACUCGCAACACCAGCAACCGGCGAGAUCCAUCCCGAACCACCAGCGCUGCCCACUUUUUCUGCAUUUUCGGCAAACUUCGCCCCCCCAAAAUUCACCGCGCCGCCCUUCACCGUUCUCUUCCCCUUUUCCCUUUUAUCGUUGCUGCCUCGUCGGGUGAUGAUUGGCGAGCUGCUGACAAAACACCCC